RNAcentral lists this ribosomal RNA (301 nucleotides) under uncultured bacterium. RNAcentral describes it as "partial 16S ribosomal RNA". It matches the Rfam family "Bacterial small subunit ribosomal RNA", at positions 509 to 807 of the family's 1533-position model. The record is from RNAcentral.
CAGCCGCCGCGGUAAUACGUAGGUGGCAAGCGUUGUCCGGAAUUAUUGGGCGUAAAGGGCUCGCAGGCGGUUUCUUAAGUCCGAUGUGAAAGCCCCCGGCUCAACCGGGGAGGGUCAUUGGAAACUGGGAAACUUGAGUGCAGAAGAGGAGAGUGGAAUUCCACGUGUAGCGGUGAAAUGCGUAGAGAUGUGGAGGAACACCAGUGGCGAAGGCGACUCUCUGGUCUGUAACUGACGCUGAGGAGCGAAAGCGUGGUGAGCGAACAGGAUUAGAUACCCCCGUAGUCCCUGUCUCUUAUAC